AUUGAACGCUGGCGGCAGGCCUAACACAUGCAAGUCGAGCGGAUGAAGGGAGCUUGCUCCUGGAUUCAGCGGCGGACGGGUGAGUAAUGCCUAGGAAUCUGCCUGGUAGUGGGGGAUAACGUCCGGAAACGGGCGCUAAUACCGCAUACGUCCUGAGGGAGAAAGUGGGGGAUCUUCGGACCUCACGCUAUCAUAUGAGCCUAGGUCGGAUUAGCUAGUUGGUGGGGUAAAGGCCUACCAAGGCGACGAUCCGUAACUGGUCUGAGAGGAUGAUCAGUCACACUGGAACUGAGACACGGUCCAGACUCCUACGGGAGGCAGCAGUGGGGAAUAUUGGACAAUGGGCGAAAGCCUGAUCCAGCCAUGCCGCGUGUGUGAAGAAGGUCUUCGGAUGGUAAAGCACUUUAAGUUGGGAGGAAGGGCAGUAAGUUAAUACCUUGCUGUUUUGACGUUACCAACAGAAUAAGCACCGGCUAACUUCGUG
Molecule: ribosomal RNA, 484 nt
Filed under: uncultured bacterium
Lineage: Bacteria
Description: partial 16S ribosomal RNA
Rfam family: Bacterial small subunit ribosomal RNA
Source: RNAcentral